This 908-nucleotide ribosomal RNA is filed under the name uncultured bacterium. RNAcentral's name for it is "bacterial SSU rRNA". It matches the Rfam family "Bacterial small subunit ribosomal RNA", at positions 33 to 932 of the family's 1533-position model. The record is from RNAcentral.
ACGCUGGCGGCAGGCUUAACACAUGCAAGUCGAACGGUAACAGGGAUUAGCUUGCUAAUCUGCUGACGAGUGGCGGACGGGUGAGUAAUGCUUGGGAAUCUGGCUUAUGGAGGGGGGUAACUACGGGAAACUGUAGCUAAUACCGCGUAAAAUCUUCGGAUUAAAGGGUGGGACUUUCGAGCCACCUGCCAUAAGAUGAGCCCAAGUGGGAUUAGGUAGUUGGUUAGGUAAAGGCUGACCAAGCCGACGAUCUCUAGCUGGUCUGAGAGGAUGACCAGCCACACUGGAACUGAGACACGGUCCAGACUCCUACGGGAGGCAGCAGUGGGGAAUAUUGCACAAUGGGGGGAACCCUGAUGCAGCCAUGCCGCGUGAAUGAAGAAGGCCUUCGGGUUGUAAAGUUCUUUCGGUGACGAGGAAGGUUGGUAGGUUAAUAGCCUAUCAAAUUGACGUUAAUCACAGAAGAAGCACCGGCUAACUCCGUGCCAGCAGCCGCGGUAAUACGGGGGGUGCGAGCGUUAAUCGGAAUAACUGGGCGUAAAGGGCACGCAGGCGGUGACUUAAGUGAGAUGUGAAAGCCCCGAGCUUAACUUGGGAAUUGCAUUUCAUACUGGGUCGCUAGAGUACUUUAGGGAGGGGUAGAAUUCCACGUGUAGCGGUGAAAUGCGUAGAGAUGUGGAGGAAUACCGAAGGCGAAGGCAGCCCCUUGGGAAUGUACUGACGCUCAUGUGCGAAAGCGUGGGGAGCAAACAGGAUUAGAUACCCUGGUAGUCCACGCUGUAAACGAUGUCGAUUUGGGGAUUGGGCCUUGAGCUUGGUGCCCGUAGCUAACGUGAUAAAUCGACCGCCUGGGGAGUACGGCCGCAAGGUUAAAACUCAAAUGAAUUGACGGGGGCCCGCACAAGCGG